Long non-coding RNA from Triticum aestivum (bread wheat), 2471 nucleotides. RefSeq lists it as uncharacterized. The record is from RefSeq and is a predicted model, not a curated record. NCBI's taxonomy places the organism in Eukaryota, Viridiplantae, Streptophyta, Magnoliopsida, Poales, Poaceae. The transcript has 5 exons.
CACAAUACAAUGGCCUCAUUGUUGCUCAGAUCUGGUCAGGUGUGCUUCCCCCGGUGCCCAGGCCGCUCGCGGUUGCUCUCCGAUGGUGUUGGGAGGUUCCAGUGCAAGGGUUUCAUUGGUUCGAGGAAUUAGGGCGAACUAACCCGUAGUUGUUGGGAUGUGCGGUGCGAUCUAUCUAAUUAACUACACGUUGUUGCACAACUAUAGCUUCUUCCUUUUACGUACUACUCCCUCCGUCCCGAAAAACAUGUCGCGACGGCAUUUUUACAAAAAAAAUCUCUAGCUUCUCCCGACCAAACCCGCGCUCCUCGUCGUCCUCCUCCGACAGAAGCAGCAGCUGCGCUGCUCCCCACCGCCGCAGCUUCCCUGCUCCCCACCGCCGCAGCCCCCCUGCUCCCCCGCUCUCCCGCCGCAGCUGCCUCCUGCUCCGCUGCCGCCCGCCUGCCUCCCCAAGCUCCCCCCCUUCCUCAAAAAGAUCUUCGAUUUCCCCAGCUGCCGCCGCGCUCUGCUCCGGCUACGCCGGAACUGCCGUCGGAGAGCCCGGAGGCGCCGGAUCCGGACCACCAACAACAACCUAAAGCCCGACGAGCAGCCAGGUGUUGUCCUCGCCGUCGACGACGACGGUGCCGUCGACGCCAUGGAGCAAGGGCGAGAUCCUCCAGUCGGCCAACGUCAAGAGUUUCGCCUUCACGGAGCUGAUUUUCAGCUGCUGCUGCUGCCCCCGGUAGCGCCGACACCGUGCGGCGUGCGGCUGUACGAACAGAGAAGGCGUCUACUGAAAUAAAAUCUACUGACGAAACUAGCUUAGAGAAGGUGCCCCCGUUGAUGAAGGCGUCUACUGACGGUACCCAAGAGCGUGGGGUACGAACAGAGAACAACAUGAAUAAUCAGCUACUGCUAUGAGGCAGCGGUGCAAGAACAAGAUGAACACCUCGACAUGUGCAUUGCUGGAAUUCUGCACGCCAUCCAAAUUGAUUUACUAAAUAUUGGAUGUUCAGCACUCUCCUGAGGUGAAAAUAGAUUGAAAGAGAUGUCAUCAUCAGAGGAUGAGCAAGUUGAACACGACACUGUAGAACAUGAAUUGUUUUCCAUGCCAUCUGAUGCCAUGGAGCAUGGAACAAAUAGCAGCAGCAGCACAUAGCAGCAGAUCAAUGUACAAGCUACUGUACCUUCUUCAGAGUGCAAAUAGCAGCAGCAGCAACACGUCACAGUCACUUGGACCAGCAGCAGCAGGAACACGGCAUGUUCACUUGGAUCAGCAGCAUCAACACGAGCAGAGGAGCAGCAGCAGCACGGGCUAGCUCCACCGGCGGCAGAGGAGAAACAGAGCAGCAGCAGGCACGCAGGGUCGCAUGCAGAGGAGAAGGAGCAGCACGGCAGCUGGUGGGGGCUCGACGAGGAGUUGCGGGAGAUAGAGGAGGACGCACGCAAGCUCUUGUCCACCGGAUCGUGGAGGCCGGUUCCAGCGACGCCCGUAGUAGAUCACGGCGGGAGGGAUCGCGGCGGCGCACGGGAGGCAGCUCAAGGUGGACUCGCGGGAGCUCGAGGAGGACUCGCGGUAGCUCGAGGAAGAUGAGAGGGAGCUCCUGCUCCGCCGGAUCGUGGUGGGAAAUUCCGGCAACGUCCGCAGGUAAUCCGGCGAGAGGGGAUCGCUGCGGCACAGGUUUGGGCGGCGGUGGCGGAGCAGGUACUUGGCGACGGCGGCGGCGUCGAAGGUACGUGGCGACGGAGGCGGAGCACUUCCUGAUGGGCAGCAAAUCACGCAGCUUGGCGGCGCCGGCCCCUAGCGACGCACGGGCGACGGCGGAGGGAGAAGACGGGGGUGGAGGGACUUCUUUGCGACUGUUUUGAACCUAUGACGGCCUUUUUGUAAAAUUACCAAUGAACUACGGGUGCGACACGUUUUUCGGGACGGAGGAAGUAGAUGCUAAGAUUUUUUUUAUUUACAAUUUCUCAAUUUGCUAACAGUUUAGUCUAUACAAAUGAUGCACCUUGUCGAGCUACUGAUAUGGUUAAUGUGAUGCCGUUCAGCAUAGUCAUAUAUGGGUUUUCUUCUUCUUGUGAUACAAUGGCUUUCAGCUUGAAACAAAAUAUAUGGAAGUUUAUAAUACUUUCAUUUGUCUACAGCAUUGUUGCUCACGCUCCAAGCUUACCGAGGAUCCAUGCCAGAUGACACCGCAUAGCUAUUUCCUCGAGUUACAGAAACAAAGCCGAAUUGCGUCUAAAAAUAACGAACGUUUUGAGCGGCGGAAAAUUCUGUACGCAUGUUUCUUUGGUCCUAUUAUAUUCUAUCUUGGCAUAGACAUACGCAAGAAGAAGAAACUGUGAGGGGGCAAUGCAAGCUCGAACUUAGUGUGUAUCGUCCACCUGAACUUUCUAUGCGGUGGACUAAGCUAUGGACUUAAAAAAAUUUACUAUGUUUUUUUGUUGUGUUAGAUCUGCAUGUAAUGAAAGAUGAUGUUUGUACUUCA